Molecule: long non-coding RNA, 535 nt
Organism: Vespa crabro (European hornet)
Lineage: Eukaryota; Metazoa; Arthropoda; Insecta; Hymenoptera; Vespidae
Exons: 2
Source: RefSeq, a predicted model, not a curated record
GAGAAAGAGAGAGAGAAACUAAUUUGAAUUCGACACAAGAGAGAGAAAAAUAUAAGCAAACGUUUUCUUUGCGUCGACAAGUAAUACUUAUAUUGCGAAUGACGGUUGUUCUUUGAUUCAAUGAGAGGUAUGUAUGCUCGCAAAUAAAAGAAGUAACAUAAACUAUAGUAACACAGAGAAAUGAAGAAACUCAUCAUAAAAGAAACGAUCGACGAGUAACAGGAGAAGUAACAAGAACAGUGCCGGUAGACAGCCAGCUGUAGAAGACGCGCACAGCCCUGAUUUUCGCGAAACACCCAAGGAAGCGCAUCAAGCCAAACGGAGAGUCUUGUCAGCGCGUUGCAUGCGUUUUCAAACACUUCCCGGUCCACGGUGUUACGCAAUAUUCCACGUAAAUACAUAACACAUUUUCCCGAAUAGCGUACUGACGAGAGAUAUUGGUUUUGUGUGUCGCCUUCUCUCUCUCUCUCUCUCUCUCUCUCUCUCUCUCUCUCUCUCUCUCUCUCUCUCUCUCUCUCUCUCUCUCUCUCUCUCU